This 19-nucleotide small nuclear RNA is filed under the name Arabidopsis thaliana (thale cress). RNAcentral describes it as "snRNA_00045". Lineage: Eukaryota; Viridiplantae; Streptophyta; Magnoliopsida; Brassicales; Brassicaceae. The record is from RNAcentral.
CGGCAAGUCAUCCUUGGCU